CACUCUGUUUAUUACUAAAUCCACUAGCCGUAGAUGAUCCAAGGCUCAUAAACCCAGGUAUGAUGGAGUACCCCAGAGAACAGUUGGAGAGAAAGAGAGACUCCAUUCGCAUAUGUAUAUGUGCAGAGAAGACCCAAAAUUUCUGGAUAUAAAGGUAUCAUAUGAACUCCGGAUCACUGAAGUAUGCCUGUGUAUGAACUCAGAAUUCCCAGCAGGCAUCAGGAAGAGUUAUUUUACCAUUUGUUUUCCAUUAUAGCCACCUUCUGUUAACAUUUUUCUGAGAUGAGACCUUGUAUCUAAUGGUAUUUAUCCACAGCUCAGCCUAUGACUGACUUUCCUGGCACCACAUGUCUGUGUUUGUCCUAAAUCCAAGUUACUCCAGGAACUGUGUAACUAUCUAUGAUCAUUUCUUCCUCCACCAUGAAAAAAAAAAUUAAAA
Molecule: long non-coding RNA, 439 nt
Filed under: Meleagris gallopavo (turkey)
Lineage: Eukaryota; Metazoa; Chordata; Aves; Galliformes; Phasianidae
Description: lncRNA (ENSMGAG00000022808.1)
Source: RNAcentral